UACGUAGGGUGCAAGCGUUAAUCGGAAUUACUGGGCGUAAAGCGUGCGCAGGCGGUUCGGAAAGAAAGAUGUGAAAUCCCAGGGCUCAACCUUGGAACUGCAUUUUUAACUACCGGACUAGAGUAUGUCAGAGGGAGGUGGAAUUCCACGUGUAGCAGUGAAAUGCGUAGAUAUGUGGAGGAACACCGAUGGCGAAGGCAGCCUCCUGGGAUAAUACUGACGCUCAUGCACGAAAGCGUGGGGAGCGAACAGG
This 253-nucleotide ribosomal RNA is filed under the name uncultured bacterium. Its description in RNAcentral is "partial 16S ribosomal RNA". It matches the Rfam family "Bacterial small subunit ribosomal RNA", at positions 524 to 776 of the family's 1533-position model. The record is from RNAcentral.